AUGAACGCUGGCGGCGUGCCUAAUACAUGCAAGUCGAGCGAACAGACGAGGAGCUUGCUCCUCUGACGUUAGCGGCGGACGGGUGAGUAACACGUGGAUAACCUACCUAUAAGACUGGGAUAACUUCGGGAAACCGGAGCUAAUACCGGAUAAUAUAUUGAACCGCAUGGUUCAAUAGUGAAAGACGGUUUUGCUGUCACUUAUAGAUGGAUCCGCGCCGCAUUAGCUAGUUGGUAAGGUAACGGCUUACCAAGGCGACGAUGCGUAGCCGACCUGAGAGGGUGAUCGGCCACACAGGAACUGAGACACGGUCCAGACUCCUACGGGAGGCAGCAGUAGGGAAUCUUCCGCAAUGGGCGAAAGCCUGACGGAGCAACGCCGCGUGAGUGAUGAAGGUCUUCGGAUCGUAAAACUCUGUUAUUAGGGAAGAACAAAUGUGUAAGUAACUAUGCACGUCUUGACGGUACCUAAUCAGAAAGCCACGGCUAACUACGUG
RNAcentral lists this ribosomal RNA (496 nucleotides) under uncultured bacterium. Its description in RNAcentral is "partial 16S ribosomal RNA". It matches the Rfam family "Bacterial small subunit ribosomal RNA", at positions 29 to 507 of the family's 1533-position model. The record is from RNAcentral.